GCUGGGCAUGGUGGUGCAUGCCUGUAAUCCCAGCUACUUGGGAGGCUGAGGCAGGAGAAUUGCUUGAACCCAGGAGGUGGUGGUUGCAGUGAGCUGAGAUCACACCACUGCACUCCAGCCUGGGUGACAGAGUGAGACUCUGUCUCAA
Molecule: unclassified non-coding RNA, 148 nt
Organism: Pongo abelii (Sumatran orangutan)
Lineage: Eukaryota; Metazoa; Chordata; Mammalia; Primates; Hominidae
Rfam family: Metazoan signal recognition particle RNA
About the family: The signal recognition particle (SRP) is a universally conserved ribonucleoprotein. It is involved in the co-translational targeting of proteins to membranes.
Source: Ensembl